CACGUAGGGGGCAAGCGUUGUCCGGAUUUAUUGGGCGUAAAGAGCUCGUAGGUGGUUCGGUAAGUCAGGUGUGAAACCUCCAGGCUCAACCUGGAGACGCCACUUGAUACUGCUGUGACUGGAGUCCGGUAGGGGAGCGUGGAAUUCCUGGUGUAGCGGUGAAAUGCGCAGAUAUCGAGAGGAACACCAGUGGCGAAGGCGAGUCUCUGGACAUUUCCUGACGCUGAGGCAUGAAAGCCAGGGGAGCAAACGGG
Molecule: ribosomal RNA, 254 nt
Filed under: uncultured bacterium
Lineage: Bacteria
Description: partial 16S ribosomal RNA
Rfam family: Bacterial small subunit ribosomal RNA
Source: RNAcentral